GCGAAUUCGCCCUUUUCCGGUUGAUCCUGCCGGAGGUCACUGCUAUUGGGAUUCGGCUAAGCCAUGCGAGUCGUGAGGGUUCGGCCCUCGGCAGACGGCUCAGUAACACGUAGAUAAUUUGCCCUUAGGUGGAGGAUACCUCGGGAAACUGAGAAUAAUACUCCAUAGAUCUAGACUGCUGGAAUGCUUUUAGAUUGAAAGAUUUAUCGCCUAAGGAUAAGUCUGCGGACUAUCAGGUAGUAGUUAGGGUAAAUACCUGACUAGCCUACGACGGAUACGGGUAGUGAGAGCUUUAGCCCGGAGAUGAUAUCUGAGACACGAUAUCAGGCCCUACGGGGCGCAGCAGGCGCGAAAACUUCGCACUGUGCGAAAGCACGACGAGGGAAUCCCAAGUGCUGGCUCGUAAGAGUCAGCUGUUUUUCUGUCUAAAGAACAGAGAGAGUAAGAGCUGGGUAAGACGGGUGCCAGCCGCCGCGGUAAUACCUGCAGCUCAAGUGGUGGCCGCUAUUAUUGGGCCUAAAACGUCCGUAGCCGGUUCUAUAAAUGCCUGGGUAAAUCGUACGGCUUAACCGUACGAAUUCCGGGUAGACUGUUCAACUUGGGACCGGGAGAGGCUAGAGGUACUCCUGGGGUAGAGGUGAAAUUCUGUAAUCCUAGGGGGACCACCAGUGGCGAAGGCGUCUAGCCAGAACGGGUCUGACGGUGAGGGACGAAGCCCUGGGGAGCAAACGGGAUUAGAUACCCCGGUAGUCCAGGGUGUAAACGCUGCUCGCUUGAUGUUAGUCGGGCUCCGAGCCCAACUAGUGUCGGAGAGAAGUUGUUAAGCGAGCUGCCUGGGGAGUACGGUCGCAAGACUGAAACUUAAAGGAAUUGGCGGGAAGGGCGAAUUCGU
This 892-nucleotide ribosomal RNA is filed under the name uncultured archaeon. Its description in RNAcentral is "bacterial SSU rRNA". It matches the Rfam family "Archaeal small subunit ribosomal RNA", at positions 1 to 889 of the family's 1478-position model. The record is from RNAcentral.